UGAGGCAGGAGAAUUGCUUGAACCCAGGAGGUGGAGGUUGCAGUAAGCCGAGAUCGCGCCACUGCACUCCAGCCUGGGUGACACAGUAAGACUCCAUCUC
This 100-nucleotide microRNA precursor is filed under the name Pan paniscus (pygmy chimpanzee). RNAcentral describes it as "miRNA (ENSPPAG00000012900.1)". The record is from RNAcentral. Lineage: Eukaryota; Metazoa; Chordata; Mammalia; Primates; Hominidae.